GGCAGGCGACAAACGCGCUCCGCCGCGCAUUCCGGACAAGCUUCCUCUUCGACGGUCACUCCAAGUUCAUACGAGAGGAACAUCGGCAGCAUCUCCCCGGAUCAUACGACGAUCACCAACAUCCGGGAGCGGACCAUGGUGCUUGUGUUAAGCGGCUUGCUCCUUUUCAUCAGCGGCUCGCUGUUCGCCAUUCUCCUAGGUCUGAUCUCAGAAGACUAUCUCGUUACAGGAGCGUGGCCCAAGCUCUACUGUCCCGCCUUGCCGGUGCUCAACUUCCUUGGA
This is a long non-coding RNA of Rhipicephalus microplus (southern cattle tick), 282 nucleotides long. Lineage: Eukaryota; Metazoa; Arthropoda; Arachnida; Ixodida; Ixodidae. The record is from RefSeq and is a predicted model, not a curated record.